This 433-nucleotide ribosomal RNA is filed under the name uncultured bacterium. Its description in RNAcentral is "partial 16S ribosomal RNA". It matches the Rfam family "Bacterial small subunit ribosomal RNA", at positions 29 to 507 of the family's 1533-position model. The record is from RNAcentral.
AACGAACGCUGGCGGCAUGCCUAACACAUGCAAGUCGAACGAGACCUUCGGGUCUAGUGGCGCACGGGUGCGUAACGCGUGGGAACCUGCCCUUAGGUUCGGAAUAACUCCCCGAAAGGGGUGCUAAUACCGGAUAAUGUCUUCGGACCAAAGAUUUAUCGCCUUUGGAUGGGCCCGCGUUGGAUUAGCUAGUUGGUAGGGUAAAAGCCUACCAAGGCGACGAUCCAUAGCUGGUCUGAGAGGAUGAUCAGCCACACUGGGACUGAGACACGGCCCAGAAUCCUACGGGAGGCAGCAGUGGGGAAUAUUGGACAAUGGGCGAAAGCCUGAUCCAGCAAUGCCGCGUGAGUGAUGAAGGCCUUAGGGCUGUAAAGCUCUUUUACCCGGGAUGAUAAUGACAGUACCGGGAGAAUAAGCUCCGGCUAACUCCGUG